This 2894-nucleotide ribosomal RNA is filed under the name Escherichia coli. RNAcentral describes it as "bacterial LSU rRNA". It matches the Rfam family "Bacterial large subunit ribosomal RNA". The record is from RNAcentral. Lineage: Bacteria; Pseudomonadati; Pseudomonadota; Gammaproteobacteria; Enterobacterales; Enterobacteriaceae.
ACUAAGCGUACACGGUGGAUGCCCUGGCAGUCAGAGGCGAUGAAGGACGUGCUAAUCUGCGAUAAGCGUCGGUGAGGUGAUAUGAACCGUUAUAACCGGCGAUUUCCGAAUGGGGAAACCCAGUGUGUUUCGACACACUAUCAUUAACUGAAUCCAUAGGUUAAUGAGGCGAACCGGGGGAACUGAAACAUCUAAGUACCCCGAGGAAAAGAAAUCAACCGAGAUUCCCCCAGUAGCGGCGAGCGAACGGGGAGGAGCCCAGAGCCUGAAUCAGUGUGUGUGUUAGUGGAAGCGUCUGGAAAGGCGUGCGAUACAGGGUGACAGCCCCGUACACAAAAAUGCACAUAUUGUGAGCUCGAUGAGUAGGGCGGGACACGUGGUAUCCUGUCUGAAUAUGGGGGGACCAUCCUCCAAGGCUAAAUACUCCUGACUGACCGAUAGUGAACCAGUACCGUGAGGGAAAGGCGAAAAGAACCCCGGCGAGGGGAGUGAAAAAGAACCUGAAACCGUGUACGUACAAGCAGUGGGAGCCUCUUAAUGGGGUGACUGCGUACCUUUUGUAUAAUGGGUCAGCGACUUAUAUUCUGUAGCAAGGUUAACCGAAUAGGGGAGCCGAAGGGAAACCGAGUCUUAACUGGGCGUUAAGUUGCAGGGUAUAGACCCGAAACCCGGUGAUCUAGCCAUGGGCAGGUUGAAGGUUGGGUAACACUAACUGGAGGACCGAACCGACUAAUGUUGAAAAAUUAGCGGAUGACUUGUGGCUGGGGGUGAAAGGCCAAUCAAACCGGGAGAUAGCUGGUUCUCCCCGAAAGCUAUUUAGGUAGCGCCUCGUGAAUUCAUCUCCGGGGGUAGAGCACUGUUUCGGCAAGGGGGUCAUCCCGACUUACCAACCCGAUGCAAACUGCGAAUACCGGAGAAUGUUAUCACGGGAGACACACGGCGGGUGCUAACGUCCGUCGUGAAGAGGGAAACAACCCAGACCGCCAGCUAAGGUCCCAAAGUCAUGGUUAAGUGGGAAACGAUGUGGGAAGGCCCAGACAGCCAGGAUGUUGGCUUAGAAGCAGCCAUCAUUUAAAGAAAGCGUAAUAGCUCACUGGUCGAGUCGGCCUGCGCGGAAGAUGUAACGGGGCUAAACCAUGCACCGAAGCUGCGGCAGCGACGCUUAUGCGUUGUUGGGUAGGGGAGCGUUCUGUAAGCCUGUGAAGGUGUGCUGUGAGGCAUGCUGGAGGUAUCAGAAGUGCGAAUGCUGACAUAAGUAACGAUAAAGCGGGUGAAAAGCCCGCUCGCCGGAAGACCAAGGGUUCCUGUCCAACGUUAAUCGGGGCAGGGUGAGUCGACCCCUAAGGCGAGGCCGAAAGGCGUAGUCGAUGGGAAACAGGUUAAUAUUCCUGUACUUGGUGUUACUGCGAAGGGGGGACGGAGAAGGCUAUGUUGGCCGGGCGACGGUUGUCCCGGUUUAAGCGUGUAGGCUGAUUUUCCAGGCAAAUCCGGAAAAUCAAGGCUGAGGCGUGAUGACGAGGCACUACGGUGCUGAAGCGACAAAUGCCCUGCUUCCAGGAAAAGCCUCUAAGCAUCAGGUAACAUCAAAUCGUACCCCAAACCGACACAGGUGGUCAGGUAGAGAAUACCAAGGCGCUUGAGAGAACUCGGGUGAAGGAACUAGGCAAAAUGGUGCCGUAACUUCGGGAGAAGGCACGCUGAUAUGUAGGUGAAGCGACUUGCUCGUGGAGCUGAAAUCAGUCGAAGAUACCAGCUGGCUGCAACUGUUUAUUAAAAACACAGCACUGUGCAAACACGAAAGUGGACGUAUACGGUGUGACGCCUGCCCGGUGCCGGAAGGUUAAUUGAUGGGGUUAGCGGCAACGCGAAGCUCUUGAUCGAAGCCCCGGUAAACGGCGGCCGUAACUAUAACGGUCCUAAGGUAGCGAAAUUCCUUGUCGGGUAAGUUCCGACCUGCACGAAUGGCGUAAUGAUGGCCAGGCUGUCUCCACCCGAGACUCAGUGAAAUUGAACUCGCUGUGAAGAUGCAGUGUACCCGCGGCAAGACGGAAAGACCCCGUGAACCUUUACUAUAGCUUGACACUGAACAUUGAGCCUUGAUGUGUAGGAUAGGUGGGAGGCUUUGAAGUGUGGACGCCAGUCUGCAUGGAGCCGACCUUGAAAUACCACCCUUUAAUGUUUGAUGUUCUAACGUGGGCCCCUAAUCGGGGUUGCGGACAGUGUCUGGUGGGUAGUUUGACUGGGGCGGUCUCCUCCUAAAGAGUAACGGAGGAGCACGAAGGUUGGCUAAUCCUGGUCGGACAUCAGGAGGUUAGUGCAAUGGCAUAAGCCAGCUUGACUGCGAGCGUGACGGCGCGAGCAGGUGCGAAAGCAGGUCAUAGUGAUCCGGUGGUUCUGAAUGGAAGGGCCAUCGCUCAACGGAUAAAAGGUACUCCGGGGAUAACAGGCUGAUACCGCCCAAGAGUUCAUAUCGACGGCGGUGUUUGGCACCUCGAUGUCGGCUCAUCACAUCCUGGGGCUGAAGUAGGUCCCAAGGGUAUGGCUGUUCGCCAUUUAAAGUGGUACGCGAGCUGGGUUUAGAACGUCGUGAGACAGUUCGGUCCCUAUCUGCCGUGGGCGCUGGAGAACUGAGGGGGGCUGCUCCUAGUACGAGAGGACCGGAGUGGACGCAUCACUGGUGUUCGGGUUGUCAUGCCAAUGGCACUGCCCGGUAGCUAAAUGCGGAAGAGAUAAGUGCUGAAAGCAUCUAAGCACGAAACUUGCCCCGAGAUGAGUUCUCCCUGACUCCUUGAGAGUCCUGAAGGAACGUUGAAGACGACGACGUUGAUAGGCCGGGUGUGUAAGCGCAGCGAUGCGUUGAGCUAACCGGUACUAAUGAACCGUGAGGCUUAACC